AACGAACGCUGGCGGCAUGCCUAACACAUGCAAGUCGAACGAGACCUUCGGGUCUAGUGGCGCACGGGUGCGUAACGCGUGGGAACCUGCCCUUAGGUUCGGAAUAACUCCCCGAAAGGGGUGCUAAUACCGGAUAAUGUCUUCGGACCAAAGAUUUAUUGCCUUUGGAUGGGCCCGCGUUGGAUUAGCUAGUUGGUAGGGUAAAAGCCUACCAAGGCGACGAUCCAUAGCUGGUCUGAGAGGAUGAUCAGCCACACUGGGACUGAGACACGGCCCAGAAUCCUACGGGAGGCAGCAGUGGGGAAUAUUGGACAAUGGGCGAAAGGCUGAUCCAGCAAUGCCGCGUGAGUGAUGAAGGCCUUAGGGUUGUAAAGCUCUUUUACCCGGGAUGAUAAUGACAGUACCGGGAGAAUAAGCUCCGGCUAACUACGUG
This 433-nucleotide ribosomal RNA is filed under the name uncultured bacterium. RNAcentral's name for it is "partial 16S ribosomal RNA". It matches the Rfam family "Bacterial small subunit ribosomal RNA", at positions 29 to 507 of the family's 1533-position model. The record is from RNAcentral.